RNAcentral lists this ribosomal RNA (322 nucleotides) under uncultured eukaryote. RNAcentral describes it as "partial 18S ribosomal RNA". It matches the Rfam family "Eukaryotic small subunit ribosomal RNA", at positions 1470 to 1796 of the family's 1831-position model. The record is from RNAcentral.
CCCUUAGAUGUUCUGGGCCGCACGCGUGCUACACUGAGUGGAUCAGCGGGUCAGGUUGCGCGAAAGCGUUUCCUAAUCUUGAAAUCCGCUCGUGAUGGGGAUUGACGGUUGCAAUUUUCUGUCAUGAACGAGGAAUACCUUGUAAGCGCGGGUCAUCAUCCCACGCUGAAUACGUCCCUGCCCUUUGUACACACCGCCCGUCGCUCCUACCGAUUGAGUGGUCCGGUGAGGCUUUGGGAUCUGAGCGGAAAGAGCGUUUCGCUCGUUCUGCCCGGAAAACUCAGUCGAACCUUAUCAUUUAGAGGAAGGAGAAGUCGUAACA